RNAcentral lists this long non-coding RNA (732 nucleotides) under Vigna radiata. RNAcentral describes it as "long non-coding RNA (VRAD_LNC007574)". The record is from RNAcentral. Lineage: Eukaryota; Viridiplantae; Streptophyta; Magnoliopsida; Fabales; Fabaceae.
UCGAGACAUUUAUGAGAUGCUGACUUAAUCCCCAAGCAACAAUUGCAUUUCAUGCAAUGAAAAUAAUCGAUCCCAAGCCCUUGUCCAACACGGCAUAAAUUGCAAAAUGGGCAAUGAUAUACGUUCCUGAAAAUAGUAAAAGGUGUAAGGAAAAAUAAAAUUAACUAAAUAAGUUGAAAGACUAAAUUAUAAUUGUUAAAGAUACGAUGGUGUAUAAAUACGAAAAUAUUGUAUAGCUUCACUUUAGGAUAACGUUAUUUUUCUUUCGUUUCCUUAUUUGGAAUUGGAUCAUUACUUUUGCUAUUCCUUAUAUAUAAAGAAUCAUGAGUUUGAUCAUAACACAGAAUCCCUGGAAACCUUUUAUAUGGUUUUAGAAGAUCAGUGUUUGAUUCCCUCGACAAAUUUUUCAUCUUUUUCCUGGAAUCAUGCGUAAACAGUUCUGCUCCUCUCUCUGCCAAUGUUUGGCAGCCUUCCCAAUGUUCUUUCACCAACGUCAAACCCUGACCACUGUAGCCCAACUCCAGUAAACCCACAAUAGACCUUGCUCCCCCUCUAUGAGACAUAUUUAUUGAUAAUAACAGUUUUAAUACCAUAAGCUUAGGAUUCCAACGAACAAAAAGAUACCUUUCAUCAUCAAAAAAUUUGCAUAUAUUGCAAUAGUACUUCGCCAUUGAAAAUCCAUUACAUGAAGGUGUCAUGCACAUAGGCCCUAUAGGCUGUAUAUUCAGGCAG